RNAcentral lists this transfer RNA (88 nucleotides) under Puniceicoccales bacterium. RNAcentral's name for it is "tRNA-Ser". It matches the Rfam family "tRNA". From Rfam's summary of the family: Transfer RNA (tRNA) molecules are approximately 80 nucleotides in length. Their secondary structure includes four short double-helical elements and three loops (D, anti-codon, and T loops). Further hydrogen bonds mediate the characteristic L-shaped molecular structure. tRNAs have two regions of fundamental functional importance: the anti-codon, which is responsible for specific mRNA codon recognition, and the 3' end, to which the tRNAs corresponding amino acid is attached (by aminoacyl-tRNA synthetases). tRNAs cope with the degeneracy of the genetic code in two manners: having more than one tRNA (with a specific anti-codon) for a particular amino acid; and 'wobble' base-pairing, i.e. permitting non-standard base-pairing at the 3rd anti-codon position. Lineage: Bacteria; Pseudomonadati; Verrucomicrobiota; Opitutia; Puniceicoccales. The record is from RNAcentral.
GGAAGGAUGGCAGAGUGGGCGAUUGCGACGGUCUUGAAAACCGUUAAACCGAAAGGUUUCGAGGGUUCGAAUCCCCCUCCUUCCGCCA